GGAAUCUUCGGCAAUGGACGAAAGUCUGACCGAGCAACGCCGCGUGAGUGAAGAGGGUUUUCGGAUCGUAAAACUCUGUUGGUAGAGAAGAACGUUGGUGAGAGUGGAAAGCUCAUCAAGUGACGGUAACUACCCAGAAAGGGACGGCUAACUACGUGCCAC
Molecule: ribosomal RNA, 162 nt
Filed under: uncultured bacterium
Lineage: Bacteria
Description: partial 16S rRNA
Rfam family: Bacterial small subunit ribosomal RNA
Source: RNAcentral